This 840-nucleotide unclassified non-coding RNA is filed under the name Hevea brasiliensis (rubber tree). The record is from RNAcentral. Lineage: Eukaryota; Viridiplantae; Streptophyta; Magnoliopsida; Malpighiales; Euphorbiaceae.
AAUUUUAAUUGAAUGAUUCAAUAGAAAAAGCAUAAUAAAUUUUGGAAUUUUUAAGACCAUGUUUGGUAUAGAUUUUUAUAAGUCUAAGUUCAAUUAUAGUUAAGUUUCCAACCAUAAAUGCUGCAAUAUAUAACAUAAAUCGAAAACAACCUAAUAUUGAUUGAAAAUCUAAUGGACUACUAUGGCUCAAACUAUAACAAUUUGGGCAACAAUUCCUGCUGCUUCUAAAUAUAUUGAUGUUGUCAUGAGCUUUAAGAGAUCAGUCCUAUUGCCAUGUAGACUUGUUAAAAUAAAGAAAGGUGAGGUUGGUGGUCUUUCAGCCAACCACUGCUUAAGUCAGAAAAUAGAAAUUUAGAAAGGAGAGAUUGAGAGAAUAAUUCAGUAUUGAUUAGUAUAUGUGUAUCUGAUUCUUCCUUGCUUCUAGUAUUUAUAAGGUUUUUUAAGAAAAAUAGUCAUUGCCUUAAUCUCAGGAAAUGGGUUAACAUUCGAGAUUAUCUCCUAAAAAUUCGGUUUGAUUCGUGAUUGGUGUUACUAUUGCUCAGUAUGGUUUUUGCUUGGUUUGUUAAGCUAAUGAUAAUAUUGCUUCUUCAUUCGGCUUGUUACUGUUCGAUCCGAGCCUAGAUCAUACUACAUUUUGUUGGGCUCGUAGCUACUCGGUUGAGCAACCUUUUGUUCUGUUUUGACUCUUUGACCGAGACUGCCACAUUGAAUAUUUUAUUUCAAGCGUUGACUUUUUUUAUUGUAUUUUAGGUGAGAAAUAUCAUAUAUGAAAGAUAUAUAGGCCUUUUUCUUCACAUUUCUCAGCAAAAGAUGAGGGAUUAGAACAAAAAAGCUUUCUAU